GUGGCUGCUCUGCCGCGACGGGUGAGACCGAGAGUCGGGGCCGGGCCGACCGCGUAGCCAUCAUUGUUCAGUUCAGGAAGUAGUAGUGAAGUGCUAGUGUGUCUCGGUUCUGUACUCCCGGAGGCUUCUGCCGACAUUGCCAGGGAAAAUGAGAUGUUAUAACUUACUUCACUGCAUGGUUUUGGCAGCUCAGCAUCUACCUGUAGUUACAAGAGAGAGGUAAACCCAUCGUUAGAACUUCAACUUUUGUAUCAACUGAGCAUCACUUAACACACAACAAUGGCAUCGGCGGGAUGUAGCCCGAUAGAGGACACUAACCUGAGGUGACGGUAGAACGGAGGACACUGAGGGCAGUGCCCCGUCGCUCAUCACGCGUAGGCCUACAGUUUCCAAUCUUUAAUUUUUACUUUUAUUUCUUACGGUUCUCACCUGAACACUUUCCG
This 443-nucleotide unclassified non-coding RNA is filed under the name Homarus americanus (American lobster). Its description in RNAcentral is "uncharacterized LOC121872931, transcript variant X3". Lineage: Eukaryota; Metazoa; Arthropoda; Malacostraca; Decapoda; Nephropidae. The record is from RNAcentral.